AACGGGUGAAACACAAUAUAGGGAGCAUUUAGAAUAUCACAUUGUUAUACAUGGUUUUCAUAAAUUUCCUAACCCUUUAUUGCAAUUUAACAUUUACACUUCAUAACACUAAAUAUGAAGAAGUUCUGUGCCAAAUUUUAUUGAUCUAGCUCAAAUAGUUUUCAAGCAGUGGCAAAAAACGCAUCUAGAAAAAGUCAUUUUUGAAGCGUUAUGUUGUUGCACUUAGAAUUUUCCAUAUUUUUCAAAUAAAAUAAUGGUAUGAUAUUAUAUAUUUCCAUGUAAAUGUGUGUUAUCAGCAUAAAGACAAUUUUUUAAGGAUUAUUUUGGUGUUUGAUUUGUCAUGAUCGGAUGAAAAUUGUUGAAGCUGUCGAGAAAAAUGUGAAAUGGGUAAGAUGUUAUGCAGUUUUUCACUGAAAUUCCUUCCUUUUGUUAUAAUGAAUAACUGCAAUGUUAACAUUAUUUUUUCUUUAAUAUUUUGGUCCAGAAUCAUUUCUCUGUUGUAAUAGUACUUAAAGAAAAAAAAUCAAAAUCAUGUAUUUCUGAAAUUUAAUUGUAUGAAUUUUUAAAAUUGAAAAUCAGGUUUUUAUGAAAAGAUGUAGAGUCCGUAACCAAUUGUAUUUUGUAGAUUUGUAAGAUAUUAUGAGAGUCUUUAUUGAUUUUUUCUUAUCAAAUUUAACUGUUGACAUUAAAUUUUUAUGCUAUUUCCUUUAUUGUUAACUACAUUUUUGCUGUAGCACCACUAAUAUGGUUACGGACACUACAAAAACCCUGUAGUGUCCGUAACCCGUCUUUCAAUGGUGUAAAUAAACAUUUUUUUAAAUUUUAUUAUAAUAGUUAUUCUUAUGAAAGUAAUAAAUGAUUUCACAAGUUAAUUAAUAAACUUUAUUUUUCAUCAACUUGUUGAUGUUGCAACCACAUUGGAAAACCCUUAUUGCGGCAUCUUUAUAUACAGCAUCAUUUUCUGUUGCUGCAGCAUGAAAUUGAAAGAUGUCAUAGCAAACAUGGAAGCGACGAGAGAUAAAGAAUCACUAUUUUUUUCAAUAUGGAAGGUUCACUGAUGACAAAUUUAACAAAGUCUAUUAAUAAUUUCACUACAAAAGAUAUAGAGUUUUGAUCUGAUGAGGCAGCUGCAAUGCUGAAACUUAAAAGGCACAAAAAUGCUGAAUUGGUUAGAAGAGGUUAAAUGGCAAGAAAGGCAGAAACUCAAUCCAGGCCAAUGUGAAAAUUAAAAGAAAAAUGAGAGAGAAAGAAAGAAGGAUUGUAAAAUGAGACAGCGACAAGAAGUAGAGAAGAGUAACUCAAAACUAGAUUAGUUAAAAAAGCAGAACUUAUAUCAAAAUCAUAUGAUGAAGGAAAAAGAGUGGAAAGAAAUUUGUGUCUGCACAAACAGGAUCUGUCAUAGGAGAUAAGAGACAAUGUUGUUGCAUUUAUAGAUGAAUCUACUAUGACUGAUAAUAGGGGUACAUUUUCAACACCAAGACAUCUGAAAAUUUGAAGAAAAAAAAGUUACAAAAAGAUUAUAGAAAUGUGAACUUUCAUUAGAUAAUUCAUAGUGUAGUGUCCAUAACCAUGAACUUAAUUUCUUUUUUCUGGUUAGUGACAUUCUUGAGUAAAAAAGUGUAAGUGUUAGUUGUGUGAUAUGAAUACAAAGUAUUGAUAAUAAUGUAUCACUUAGAGAACUUAAUAUUGCUUAUUAAGUUACAAGAUUUCAUGAAAACAGGAAGUUUUCAGA
Molecule: long non-coding RNA, 1732 nt
Organism: Mercenaria mercenaria
Lineage: Eukaryota; Metazoa; Mollusca; Bivalvia; Venerida; Veneridae
Exons: 2
Source: RefSeq, a predicted model, not a curated record